AUGGUCCAUUUGGCGGUGCACUUACCAAAAGAGGCAAUGCUUAGAGGCCCCGUGCAAUAUGGUUGGAUGUACCCAAUCGAAAGAAGGCUGCUUACUUGUAAGCGUUAUGUGCGAAACACGGCAAGACCUGAAGGUUCUAUUGCUGAAGCAUAUGUCGUUGACGAGUGCUUGACUUUUUGCUCUAGAUACUUUGGCGAUGUGCAAACAAGAUGGAACCGGCCGGGCAUAAAUAGAGAGCGGUCUGAUUCACAAAGUGGUGAUGUCUCUGUUUUCAACCAUGGUGUGAACUUUCUUGGAGCCUCACAAUACUUGGAGGCUGGUGAUGAGUAUGACAAGAUGGUUUGGUAUGUGCUCAGCAAUUGUGCCGAGGUUCUACCAUAUAUCGAGAAGAGUUAA
RNAcentral lists this ribosomal RNA (396 nucleotides) under Triticum aestivum (bread wheat). RNAcentral's name for it is "partial small subunit ribosomal RNA". Lineage: Eukaryota; Viridiplantae; Streptophyta; Magnoliopsida; Poales; Poaceae. The record is from RNAcentral.